Molecule: long non-coding RNA, 308 nt
Filed under: Pan troglodytes (chimpanzee)
Lineage: Eukaryota; Metazoa; Chordata; Mammalia; Primates; Hominidae
Description: long non-coding RNA NONPTRT007216
Source: RNAcentral
CGGAGGAGCAGCUCUGUGUCCAGCUUAGAGGACUGGAAGAGGCCGCAACCUUCUGCCUGCUGGAGGGUGGAGGAUGGAUGGAGCCUGGAGCCUAGGUCACUACCUUGCUGCGGUUGGUGGUGGCGAUAGAGCAGUAGGAGAGCGGUCAGCAGCAGGAGGACUAGAAGGAAGAGGCACUGCCACAUGCUGGAGGCUGGAACCUGUGCCACCAUGGCUCGCCUCGCUGUGGUUGGUGGUGACGUCGGAGACUGCAGCUCAGCCACGGUGGUAGACAUGUGAUGGGCUGCUCCAAGCCAGGCUGAAGGAGG